GGGAAUAUUGCACAAUGGGCGCAAGCCUGAUGCAGCCAUGCCGCGUGUAUGAAGAAGGCCUUCGGGUUGUAAACUAUUGUCGUUAGGGAAGAGAAAGGACAGUACCUAAGGAGGAAGCUCCGGCUAACUACGUGCCAGCAGCCGCGGUAAUACGUAGGGAGCGAGCGUUAUCCGGAAUUAUUGGGUGUAAAGGGUGCGUAGACGGGAAAACAAGUUAGUUGUGAAAUCCCUCGGCUUAACUGAGGAACUGCAACUAAAACUAUUUUUCUUGAGUGCAGGAGAGGUAAGUGGAAUUCCUAGUGUAGCGGUGAAAUGCGUAGAUAUUAGGAGGAACACCAGUGGCGAAGGCGACUUACUGGACUGUAACUGACGUUGAGGCACGAAAGUGUGGGGAGCAAACAG
RNAcentral lists this ribosomal RNA (402 nucleotides) under uncultured bacterium. RNAcentral describes it as "bacterial SSU rRNA". It matches the Rfam family "Bacterial small subunit ribosomal RNA", at positions 357 to 775 of the family's 1533-position model. The record is from RNAcentral.